CUACGUGCCAGCAGCCGCGGUAAUACGUAGGUCCCGAGCGUUGUCCGGAUUUAUUGGGCGUAAAGCGAGCGCAGGCGGUUAGAUAAGUCUGAAGUUAAAGGCUGUGGCUUAACCAUAGUACGCUUUGGAAACUGUUUAACUUGAGUGCAAGAGGGGAGAGUGGAAUUCCAUGUGUAGCGGUGAAAUGCGUAGAUAUAUGGAGGAACACCGGUGGCGAAAGCGGCUCUCUGGCUUGUAACUGACGCUGAGGCUCGAAAGCGUGGGGAGCAAACAGGAUUAGAUACCCUGGUAGUCCACGCCGUAAACGAUGUCAAUUAGCUGUUGGGCAACUUGAUUGCUUAGUAGCGUAGCUAACGCGUGAAAUUGACCGCUUGGGGAGUACGGUCGCAAGAUUAAAACUCAAAGGAAUUGACGGGGACCCGCACAAGCGGUGGAUGAUGUGGAUUAAUUCGAUGCAACGCGAAGAACCUUACCUGGUCUUGACAU
Molecule: ribosomal RNA, 486 nt
Filed under: uncultured bacterium
Lineage: Bacteria
Description: bacterial SSU rRNA
Rfam family: Bacterial small subunit ribosomal RNA
Source: RNAcentral